Molecule: ribosomal RNA, 430 nt
Filed under: uncultured bacterium
Lineage: Bacteria
Description: bacterial SSU rRNA
Rfam family: Bacterial small subunit ribosomal RNA
Source: RNAcentral
AACCUUACCUACCCCUUGACAUGCCAAGAACCCCGCAGGAGAUGUGGGGGUGCKCGAAAGGGAACCUGGACACAGGUGCUGCAUGGGCUGUCGUCAGCUCGUGUCGUGAGAUGUUGGGUUAAGUCCCGCAACGAGCGCAACCCUUGCCAUUAGUUGCUACAUUCAGUUGGGCACUCUAAUGGGACUGCCGGUGACAAWCCGGAGGAAGGUGGGGAUGACGUCAAGUCCUCAUGGCCCUUAUGGGUAGGGCUUCACACGUAAUACAAUGGCGCAUACAGAGGGCUGCAAACCCGCGAGGGGGAGCCAAUCCCAAAAAGUGCGUCGUAGUCCGGAUUGUUCUCUGCAACUMGAGAGCAUGAAGUCGGAAUCGCUAGUAAUCGCGGAUCAGCAUGUCGCGGUGAAUACGUUCCCGGGUCUUGUACACACCGCC